Molecule: transfer RNA, 90 nt
Filed under: Actinobacteria bacterium QS_5_72_10
Lineage: Bacteria; Bacillati; Actinomycetota
Description: tRNA-Ser
Rfam family: tRNA
About the family: Transfer RNA (tRNA) molecules are approximately 80 nucleotides in length. Their secondary structure includes four short double-helical elements and three loops (D, anti-codon, and T loops).
Source: RNAcentral
GGAGGCUUCGCCUAGUCUGGCCUAGGGCGCGGCACUGCUAAUGCCGUUGAGGACGUGGUCCUCUCGAGGGUUCGAAUCCCUCAGCCUCCG